This 1428-nucleotide unclassified non-coding RNA is filed under the name Stylophora pistillata. RNAcentral's name for it is "uncharacterized LOC111347007, transcript variant X6". The record is from RNAcentral. Lineage: Eukaryota; Metazoa; Cnidaria; Anthozoa; Scleractinia; Pocilloporidae.
GUCAUGGCAUCCGCUCGUGAGGAAAAUCGCAUAAGUACUUACAGAAAACUGCUUAUAGAUCUGUCGAUGGAACUGUCCAGAAAAGAUCUGGAGAUGUUAAUUUAUGCUGUAGGAGAUUUUCUUCCCAGGAGAGUGACAGAAAACAUGGACAGUGGACUGAAGUUAUUUGAAGCACUCGAACAUGAUGUACACAUUAGUCCACUGGACCUGACCCUGCUUCAGGAUGGGUUGAAUACAAUUGGUAGAGUGGAUCUUGCUCAAAGAAUUCAGGUUUUCUCUAGUAAACUGGAGACAGUUGAGACUGAUGGUGGGCAAGAGGACAUAGUGACUGAUGAAAUUGGGGAUCAAGGCAAUGCUGGCACCACAGAAAGUGAUGAGAUUGAUCCUACUAACACAGUAAACUCGAGUGCAAGGAAAGGUGGGCAAGAUGACAUAGUGACUGAUGGAAUUGGGGAUCAAGGCAAUGCUGGCACAGCAGAAAGUGAUGAGAUUGAUCCUACUAACACAGUAAAUCCUGGUGCAAGGAAAGCUCGUGCUGCACACUUGAAAUCAGCACUGCUACCUCACCAUUCAGCAUUACUGUUUGAUGGGAAUCUGGAAAUUACCCCCACAAUGGUCAGAACUAGGGAUACUGGAGAAGCUACUUCUAAAAAACAUUGCCUUGUGGCCAGUGGUGAUGCUACAUCUGCUGCUAUAAAUAAUGGCCCCUGCACUUCAUCUCCUGCACCUUCAGCUGCACAUGUGGGGCAACAAUCACGAGGACCCACUCAGGCUGCUUCAUCUGGCCGGGUCCAAAAUCACUUAGCCCAUGGAACAGCACCGGUUCGAUAUGUGAACUUUCUUGUUUAUGAGGGCUACUCUGUUGAAGUAAUAGGAGGAAAACACUUCAAAACUCCAGAUGGAGAGUUUGUGGAAAUGAAAAGUGGGACACAGUAUAAAAUACAUGUCAAAAAUUCACAUCCUUAUGGUUGUCAUCUGGACAUAUCAAUGGAUGGUUUUGACGUAGGGGGAUGGGCCCUCCUCGAAGGAGAAGAGAUGUUAAUAGAAAGAUCGGCAUACGAGGCCAAGAAGUUCACCUUCUACCGAGUGAAAACUGCACCGAAAGAGGCAGGAAUUGUGUCUGGGCGGGCAGAAAAUGGUGUUCUUAAGUGUAUGUUCACACCUGAAGUAAUGGCAGAAGUUCAAGGCAAUUUUUCUGGGCCAUCUGCCACAGCUACAGCUGGUGACGUGGAUCAUAAUGCCCAAGAUAGAGGGAAAGAACGAGAGCUUGAAGAACAAGAAUGUACUUCAACAGAACUUGUCAAGUGUUUUAAAUGAAAAGUCGCCAUUGAAUGUUUUAUUUCUCAAUGUUAGGGUUUGAAAGCCAUGAUAUAAGACGGUGGUUUGAAAGCCAUGGUGUUGAACGCUGGUCCUGUUCAAGGGCGUCAU